Long non-coding RNA from Oreochromis aureus, 561 nucleotides. The record is from Ensembl. Lineage: Eukaryota; Metazoa; Chordata; Actinopteri; Cichliformes; Cichlidae.
AUAAAGAUGGCUCCCUCAUCAGGAAGCAGCCUACAGGUCACAUGACCAUCCAGCAUGUUUCCAGGUCUGAUGAAGGCCUCUACAAGUGUGACAUCAGCGGUCAUGGAGAGUCUCCAUCCAGCUGGAUCACUGUCACAGAAAAACAUAUAACCACGCCCCCUGACUCGUCCUUACUCCACUUUGUGAUUAGACUGCUCUUCCACCUGGUGAUGUUCUGUCCAUAUGUCAUCUCCACUCUCCUCAUGGUGUCUUUGUAUCGAAAGACAGCUAAAGGAAAAAUCUUCCGUGUCUCAAUCCUGCCCAUUCAGCCUGAGCAGGGACUGGACGAUGAGCAUUACGAUGUCAUCUCUGAUGUCACCACAGAGUAUCACUUCUGAAUCAGAGCUCUGUUGCUUCUCUUUAGGUCUCACUAACUUUGUCCUCUCCACCUCUGUUGUGAAUCUUAUCUGAAUAAAAGGACUCUGAUGUUCAUCUCUGGAUAUUUUUAUGUAGAUAAACAGCAAAUGUUCCCAAGAAAAUCUACUGGAGCUCUCAAUAGAAAUUAUAUUGACUUAUGAUUUU